AUUGAACGCUGGCGGCAUGGCUAAAACAUGCAAGUCGAGCGCGAAAGUGGAGCAAUCCAUGAGUAGAGCGGCGAAAGGGUGAGUAAUGCGUUCCUAACGUACCUCAAGGUCGGGGAUAGCCAGGGGAAACUCUGGGUAAUACCCGAUGUGAUCGAGAGAUCAAAGGCUUGCCGCCUUGAGAGCGGGGAACGUCCUAUCAGGUAGUUGGUGAGGUAACGGCUCACCAAGCCAUUGACGGGUAGCGGGUGUGAGAGCAUGGCCCGCCACAUCGAAACUGAGACACUGUUCGGACUCCUACGGGAGGCAG
This 307-nucleotide ribosomal RNA is filed under the name uncultured Planctomycetota bacterium. RNAcentral describes it as "bacterial SSU rRNA". It matches the Rfam family "Bacterial small subunit ribosomal RNA", at positions 30 to 351 of the family's 1533-position model. The record is from RNAcentral. Lineage: Bacteria; Pseudomonadati; Planctomycetota.